Molecule: ribosomal RNA, 887 nt
Filed under: Morchella sp. Mes-9
Lineage: Eukaryota; Fungi; Ascomycota; Pezizomycetes; Pezizales; Morchellaceae
Description: partial 28S ribosomal RNA
Rfam family: Eukaryotic large subunit ribosomal RNA
Source: RNAcentral
GGGGAAGGAAAGAACCAAACAGGGAUUGCCUCAGUAACGGCGAGUGAAGCGGCAAAAGCUCAAAUUUUAAAGCUGGCACCUUCGGUGUCCGCGUUGUAAUUUUGUGAGGCAUCUCCGGGUAGGGCGCCGGCCUAAGUUCCUUGGAACAGGACGUCAUAGAGGGUGAGAAUCCCGUGCUUGGCUGGCUGUCCCCGUCCAUGUGAGGUGUCUUCGACGAGUCGAGUUGUUUGGGAAUGCAGCUCAAAAUGGGUGGUAAAUUUCAUCUAAAGCUAAAUAUUGGUGGGAGACCGAUAGCGCACAAGUAGAGUGAUCGAAAGAUGAAAAGCACUUUGAAAAUAGAGUUAAAAAGUACGUGAAAUUGUUGAAAGGGAAGCGCUUGAGACCAGACUUCGGUGGGGAGUGAUCAGCUGUCCUUCUGGGCGGUGCACUUGCUCCCCUCCGGGCCAGCAUCGGUUGGGACGGCGGGAUAAAGGUCCCGGGAAUGUGGCUCCUCUCGGGGAGUGUUAUAGCCCGGGUGAAUGCCGCCAGCCCCGACCGAGGACCGCGCCUUCGGGCUAGGAUGCUUGGCAUAAUGGUCUUCAGCGACCCGUCUUGAAACACGGACCAAGGAGUCUAACAUCUAUGCGAGUGUUUGGGUGUCAAACCCUUACGCGAAAUGAAAGUGAACGGAGGUGGGAACCCGCAAGGGUGCACCAUCGACCGGUCCCGAAGUCUUCUGAAGGAUCUGAGUAGGAGCAUAGCUGUUGGGACCCGAAAGAUGGUGAACUAUGCCUGAAUAGGGUGAAGCCAGAGGAAACUCUGGUGGAGGCUCGCAGCGGUUCUGACGUGCAAAUCGAUCGUCAAAUUUGGGUAUAGGGGCGAAAGACUAAUCGACCAUCUAAGUUCGG